GCGCCAUGGAUAAGCAGUGUGCAUUCACAAAUUCCGUUCAGGUACUUCUAGUGCACAUUUGCUAUAAUAUAUGUAAAAUGAACUAUAGCCUAGAGUUAUCUGGGAGUAAUUCCUAAUCGCAUCCUAUUAUUUUGUGUAAGUAAUAAAUACACUUGAUUGCGUUCAGUCGUUCAAACUAUCCCGCGCAUUCUAAUAAAUAAUUCGCGCGAGAUUCCUUUGUCAAUUUCGGAGAGUGUGAGGGAUAUUGUGAUCUUGCAAAGGUAAAUGAGAUUAGCUUAUAAUU
Long non-coding RNA from Mycetomoellerius zeteki, 283 nucleotides. RefSeq lists it as uncharacterized. NCBI's taxonomy places the organism in Eukaryota, Metazoa, Arthropoda, Insecta, Hymenoptera, Formicidae. The record is from RefSeq and is a predicted model, not a curated record. The transcript is spliced from 3 exons.